This 253-nucleotide ribosomal RNA is filed under the name uncultured bacterium. RNAcentral's name for it is "partial 16S ribosomal RNA". It matches the Rfam family "Bacterial small subunit ribosomal RNA", at positions 524 to 776 of the family's 1533-position model. The record is from RNAcentral.
UACGGGGGGUGCGAGCGUUGUCCGGAAUCACUGGGCGUAAAGGGCGCGUAGGUGGCCUGAUAAGGGUGUGGUGAAAGUCCGGGGCUCAACCCCGGAUCUGCCGUGCCGACUGUCAGGCUAGAGUACUGUAGGGGCAGGCGGAAUUCCGGGUGUAGCGGUGAAAUGCGUAGAUAUCCGGAGGAACACCGGUGGCGAAGGCGGCUUCCUGGACCGACACUGACGCUGAGGCGCGAAAGCUAGGGGAGCAAACGGG